GACGAACGCUGGCGGCGUGCUUAACACAUGCAAGUCGAACGGAAAGGCCUCUUUCGGGGGGUACUCGAGUGGCGAACGGGUGAGUAACACGUGAGUAACCUGCCCUUUUCUUUGGGAUACCUUCAGGAAACUGGGGCUAAUACCGGAUAGGAGCUCCUGCGGCAUGGUGGGGGUUGGAAAGUUUCGGGGGUUGGGGGGGGACUCGCGGCUUAUCAGCCUGUUUGUGGGGGAGUGGGUUACCAAGGCGUUUACGGGUAGCCGGGCUGGGAGGGGGAACCGCCAAAUUGGGGACGAGGAUAGGGCCAAGCUCCCAACGGAGGGAAGCGGGGGGAAUAUUGCACCAUGGGUGGGAGGCUGGUGCAGCAACGCCGUGUGCGGGAAGACGGGCUUCGGGUUGUAAACCGGUUUUGCUCAUGAACAAGCUUUGUGUGACGGUAGUGGGUAAAGAAGCACCGGCUAACUACGUG
Molecule: ribosomal RNA, 467 nt
Filed under: uncultured bacterium
Lineage: Bacteria
Description: partial 16S ribosomal RNA
Rfam family: Bacterial small subunit ribosomal RNA
Source: RNAcentral